This 501-nucleotide ribosomal RNA is filed under the name uncultured bacterium. RNAcentral describes it as "partial 16S ribosomal RNA". It matches the Rfam family "Bacterial small subunit ribosomal RNA", at positions 30 to 523 of the family's 1533-position model. The record is from RNAcentral.
AUUGAACGCUGGCGGCAGGCUUAACACAUGCAAGUCGAGCGGAGAUGAGGUGCUUGCACCUUAUCUUAGCGGCGGACGGGUGAGUAAUGCUUAGGAAUCUGCCUAUUAGUGGGGGACAACAUUCCGAAAGGAAUGCUAAUACCGCAUACGUCCUACGGGAGAAAGCAGGGGAUCUUCGGACCUUGCGCUAAUAGAUGAGCCUAAGUCGGAUUAGCUAGUUGGUGGGGUAAAGGCCUAGCAAGGCGACGAUCUGUAGCGGUUCUGAGAGGAUGAUCCGCCACACUGGGACUGAGCCACGGCCCAGACUCCUACGGGAGGCAGCAGUGGGGAAUAUUGGACAAUGGGGGAAACCCUGAUCCAGCCAUGCCGCGUGUGUGAAGAAGGCCUUAUGGUUGUAAAGCACUUUAAGCGAGGAGGAGGCUACUGAGACUAAUACUCUUGGAUAGUGGACGUUACUCGCAGAAUAAGCACCGGCUAACUCUGUGCCAGCCGCCGCCGUAA